This is a regulatory RNA element of Herbaspirillum seropedicae SmR1, 69 nucleotides long. It matches the Rfam family "Xanthine riboswitch aptamer (NMT1 RNA)". From Rfam's summary of the family: Later it was reported as a ncRNA that recognised Xanthine. NCBI's taxonomy places the organism in Bacteria, Pseudomonadati, Pseudomonadota, Betaproteobacteria, Burkholderiales, Oxalobacteraceae. The record is from Rfam.
CCAGUGAGUAGAAGCGGCUAGCAGUCGGUAACGAAGACACUUACCUUCUUGCGGGGCAUUGCUCGUGAC